GACGAACGCUGGCGGCGUGCUUAACACAUGCAAGUCGAACGGAAAGGCCCUUCGGGGUACUCGAGUGGCGAACGGGUGAGUAACACGUGGGUGAUCUGCCCUGCACUUUGGGAUAAGCCUGGGAAACUGGGUCUAAUACCGAAUAGGACCACGCGCUUCACGGUCUGUGGUGGCAAGCUUUUGCGGUGUAGGAUGGGCCCGCGGCCUAUCAGCUUGUUAGUGGGGUAAUGGCCUACCAAGGCGACGACGGGUAGCCGGCCUGAGAGGGUGACCGGCCACACGGGAACUGCGAUACGGCCCAGGCUGCUACCUGAGGCAUCAGUGGGGAAUAUUGCACAAUGCGCACGGUCCUGAUGCGCCGACUCCGCGUGGUGCAUGUCUGCCUUCGGUUUGUAAACGUCUUUCAAUAGGGACGCAGCGCUAGUGACGGUACCUAGAGAAGAAGCACCGGCCAACUCCGUG
This 462-nucleotide ribosomal RNA is filed under the name uncultured bacterium. Its description in RNAcentral is "partial 16S ribosomal RNA". It matches the Rfam family "Bacterial small subunit ribosomal RNA", at positions 28 to 507 of the family's 1533-position model. The record is from RNAcentral.